This 443-nucleotide ribosomal RNA is filed under the name uncultured bacterium. RNAcentral's name for it is "partial 16S ribosomal RNA". It matches the Rfam family "Bacterial small subunit ribosomal RNA", at positions 338 to 795 of the family's 1533-position model. The record is from RNAcentral.
CCUACGGGAGGCAGCAGUGGGGAAUAUUGGUCAAUGGGCGCAAGCCUGACCCAGCAACGCCGCGUGAAGGAAGAAGGCUUUCGGGCUGUAAACUUCUUUUCUCAGGGACGAAGCAAGUGACGGUACCUGAGGAAUAAGCCACGGCUAACUACGUGCCAGCAGCCGCGGUAAUACGUAGGUGGCAAGCGUUAUCCGGAUUUACUGGGUGUAAAGGGCGUGUAGGCGGGACUGCAAGUCAGAUGUGAAAACCACGGGCUCAACCUGUGGCCUGCAUUUGAAACUGUAGUUCUUGAGUACUGGAGAGGCAGACGGAAUUCCUAGUGUAGCGGUGAAAUGCAUAGAUAUUAGGAGGAACACCAGUGGCGAAGGCGGUAUGCUGGACAGAAACUGACGCUGAGGCGCGAAAGCGUGGGGAGAAAACAGGAUUAGAUACCCGUGUAGUC